ACGGGUUAAUAUUCCCGUACUUCUUACAAUUGCGAUGGGGGGACGGAGAAGGCUAGGUGGGCCUGGCGACGGUUGUCCAGGUUCAAGUACGUAGGCGGAUGGUUUAGGUAAAUCCGGACCAUUACUAACGCUGAGAUACGAUGUCGAGCUACUACGGUAGUGAAGUCAUUGAUGCCAUGCUUCCAGGAAAAGCCUCUAAGCUUCAGAUUGUAAGGAAUCG
RNAcentral lists this ribosomal RNA (220 nucleotides) under Vibrio sp. OPT24. RNAcentral's name for it is "partial 23S ribosomal RNA". It matches the Rfam family "Bacterial large subunit ribosomal RNA", at positions 1425 to 1644 of the family's 2925-position model. Lineage: Bacteria; Pseudomonadati; Pseudomonadota; Gammaproteobacteria; Vibrionales; Vibrionaceae. The record is from RNAcentral.